This 492-nucleotide ribosomal RNA is filed under the name uncultured bacterium. Its description in RNAcentral is "partial 16S ribosomal RNA". It matches the Rfam family "Bacterial small subunit ribosomal RNA", at positions 29 to 507 of the family's 1533-position model. The record is from RNAcentral.
AGUGAACGCUGGCGGUAGGCCUAACACAUGCCAGUCGAACGGCAGCACAGUAAGAGCUUGCUCUUACGGGUGGCGAGUGGCGGACGGGUGAGGAAUACAUCGGAAUCUACUUUUUCGUGGGGGAUAACGUAGGGAAACUUACGCUAAUACCGCAUACGACCUACGGGUGAAAGCAGGGGAUCUUCGGACCUUUCGCGAUUGAAUGAGCCGAUGUCGGAUUAGCUAGUUGGCGGGGUAAAGGCCCACCAAGGUGACGAUCCGUAGCUGGUCUGAGAGGAUGAUCAGCCACACUGGAACUGAGACACGGUCCAGACUCCUACGGGAGGCAGCAGUGGGGAAUAUUGGACAAUGGGCGCAAGCCUGAUCCAGCCAUACCGCGUGGGUGAAGAAGGCCUUCGGGUUGUAAAGCCCUUUUGUUGGGAAAGAAAAGCAGCAGGUUAAUACCCCGCUGUUCUGACGGUACCCAAAGAAUAAGCACCGGCUAACUUCGUG